GACGAACGCUGGCGGCGUGCUUAACACAUGCAAGUCGAACGGAAAGGCCCUGCUUUUGUGGGGUGCUCGAGUGGCGAACGGGUGAGUAACACGUGAGUAACCUGCCCUUGACUUUGGGAUAACUUCAGGAAACUGGGGCUAAUACCGGAUAGGAGCUCCUGCUGCAUGGUGGGGGUUGGAAAGUUUCGGCGGUUGGGGAUGGACUCGCGGCUUAUCAGCUUGUUGGUGGGGUAGUGGCUUACCAAGGCUUUGACGGGUAGCCGGCCUGAGAGGGUGACCGGCCACAUUGGGACUGAGAUACGGCGCAGACUCGUACGGGAGGCAGCAGGCGGGAAUCUUGCCCUAUGGGCGGAAGCCUGAUGCAGCAACGCCGCGUGCGGGAUGCCGGCCUUCGGGUUGUAAACCGCUUUCGCCUGUGACGAAGCGUGAGUGACGGUACUGGGUAAAGAAGCACCGGCUAACUACGUG
Molecule: ribosomal RNA, 468 nt
Filed under: uncultured bacterium
Lineage: Bacteria
Description: partial 16S ribosomal RNA
Rfam family: Bacterial small subunit ribosomal RNA
Source: RNAcentral